RNAcentral lists this ribosomal RNA (439 nucleotides) under uncultured bacterium. RNAcentral's name for it is "partial 16S ribosomal RNA". It matches the Rfam family "Bacterial small subunit ribosomal RNA", at positions 339 to 795 of the family's 1533-position model. The record is from RNAcentral.
CUACGGGACGCUCCAGUGGGGAAUCUUAGACAAUGGGGGAAACCCUGAUCUAGCCAUGCCGCGUGAGUGAUGAAGGCCUUAGGGUCGUAAAGCUCUUUCGCCAGGGAUGAUAAUGACAGUACCUGGUAAAGAAACCCCGGCUAACUCCGUGCCAGCAGCCGCGGUAAUACGGAGGGGGUUAGCGUUGUUCGGAAUUACUGGGCGUAAAGCGCGCGUAGGCGGAUUAGAAAGUUGGGGGUGAAAUCCCGGGGCUCAACCCCGGAACUGCCUCCAAAACUACUAGUCUAGAGUUCGAGAGAGGUGAGUGGAAUUCCGAGUGUAGAGGUGAAAUUCGUAGAUAUUCGGAGGAACACCAGUGGCGAAGGCGGCUCACUGGCUCGAUACUGACGCUGAGGUGCGAAAGUGUGGGGAGCAAACAGGAUUAGAUACCCCCGUACUC